GAUGAACGCUGGCGGCGUGCCUAAUACAUGCAAGUCGAGCGAACAGACGAGGAGCUUGCUCCUCUGACGUUAGCGGCGGACGGGUGAGUAACACGUGGAUAACCUACCUAUAAGACUGGGAUAACUUCGGGAAACCGGGGCUAAUACCGGAUAACAUGUUGAACCGCAUGGUUCAACAGCGAAAGACGGUCUUGCUGUCACUUAUAGAUGGAUCCGCGCCGCAUUAGCUAGUUGGUAAGGUAACGGCUUACCAAGGCAACGAUGCGUAGCCGACCUGAGAGGGUGAUCGGCCACACUGGAACUGAGACACGGUCCAGACUCCUACGGGAGGCAGCAGUAGGGAAUCUUCCGCAAUGGGCGAAAGCCUGACGGAGCAACGCCGCGUGAGUGAAGAAGGUCUUCGGAUCGUAAAACUCUGUUAUUAGGGAAGAACAAAUGUGUAAGUAACUAUGCACGUCUUGACGGUACCUAAUCAGAAAGCCACGGCUAACUACGUG
RNAcentral lists this ribosomal RNA (497 nucleotides) under uncultured bacterium. RNAcentral's name for it is "partial 16S ribosomal RNA". It matches the Rfam family "Bacterial small subunit ribosomal RNA", at positions 28 to 507 of the family's 1533-position model. The record is from RNAcentral.